UGUUUGCCUCAGUGCAGGGGAGGUAUGUUGAACACGUGAUUCAACAAAGCCUGCCAAUUGAUGUACUUGAGAGAAACCUUCAAAGCUCUGUUAAGCUGGAAGAUGACCCAGAAGAGCAAUGGUGUAAGAGGGACACCUCUUCUGGCAGUUCAAAGCACAAGUCAAAAUAUUUCAAUCCUCCAAAAAACCUUCCAAACCCCAAGACCAAGACCAAAACCAAGAAGAUCAUAAAAGUGGAGCAGAAUCAACGGGUUGAAGAUGCACAAUUAAAAUUGCUGUGGAAAAAGAGGGGAACAGAGAUAAUUGUUGCAACCCUGCCAUCCCAAGUGAAGGGUCGGAGCCUCUUCAUCCACCACACUGAUCUACGGUGUCUACGACCCCACCUGUGGUUGACAGGAGAGAUAAUUCAGGGAUUGAUGCAUCUCAGUGCCUUCACGUACAACGUGGUGGAAACCAUUUACUUAAUGGAUUAUUACACCGCAGGUGUACUUUUAUUUGGUGACAG
Molecule: long non-coding RNA, 505 nt
Organism: Gadus chalcogrammus (walleye pollock)
Lineage: Eukaryota; Metazoa; Chordata; Actinopteri; Gadiformes; Gadidae
Exons: 3
Source: RefSeq, a predicted model, not a curated record